AUUGAACGCUGGCGGCAGGCCUAACACAUGCAAGUCGAGCGGAUGAAGGGAGCUUGCUCCUGGAUUCAGCGGCGGACGGGUGAGUAAUGCCUAGGAAUCUGCCUGGUAGUGGGGGAUAACGUCCGGAAACGGGCGCUAAUACCGCAUACGUCCUGAGGGAGAAAGUGGGGGAUCUUCGGACCUCACGCUAUCAGAUGAGCCUAGGUCGGAUUAGCUAGUUGGUGGGGUAAAGGCCUACAAGGCGACGAUCCGUAACUGGUCUGAGAGGAUGAUCAGUCACACUGGAACUGAGACACGGUCCAGACUCCUACGGGAGGCAGCAGUGGGGAAUAUUGGACAAUGGGCGAAAGCCUGAUCCAGCCAUGCCGCGUGUGUGAAGAAGGUCUUCGGAUUGUAAAGCACUUUAAGUUGGGAGGAAGGGCAGUAAGUUAAUACCUUGCUGUUUUGACGUUACCAACAGAAUAAGCACCGGCUAACUUCGUG
This 483-nucleotide ribosomal RNA is filed under the name uncultured bacterium. RNAcentral's name for it is "partial 16S ribosomal RNA". It matches the Rfam family "Bacterial small subunit ribosomal RNA", at positions 30 to 507 of the family's 1533-position model. The record is from RNAcentral.